This 77-nucleotide transfer RNA is filed under the name Cardiobacteriaceae bacterium. Its description in RNAcentral is "tRNA-Arg". It matches the Rfam family "tRNA". Rfam says of the family: Transfer RNA (tRNA) molecules are approximately 80 nucleotides in length. Their secondary structure includes four short double-helical elements and three loops (D, anti-codon, and T loops). Further hydrogen bonds mediate the characteristic L-shaped molecular structure. tRNAs have two regions of fundamental functional importance: the anti-codon, which is responsible for specific mRNA codon recognition, and the 3' end, to which the tRNAs corresponding amino acid is attached (by aminoacyl-tRNA synthetases). tRNAs cope with the degeneracy of the genetic code in two manners: having more than one tRNA (with a specific anti-codon) for a particular amino acid; and 'wobble' base-pairing, i.e. permitting non-standard base-pairing at the 3rd anti-codon position. Lineage: Bacteria; Pseudomonadati; Pseudomonadota; Gammaproteobacteria; Cardiobacteriales; Cardiobacteriaceae. The record is from RNAcentral.
GCGCCCGUAGCUCAGUGGAUUAGAGUACUUGGCUACGAACCAAGCGGUCGGAGGUUCGAGUCCUUCCGGGCGCGCCA